Long non-coding RNA from Homo sapiens (human), 2138 nucleotides. Ensembl annotates it as long intergenic non-protein coding RNA 299. The record is from Ensembl. NCBI's taxonomy places the organism in Eukaryota, Metazoa, Chordata, Mammalia, Primates, Hominidae.
ACAGUCUUUGAGUGUGGUGGAGGCCAGGCAAGACAGCAGGCAUCCAGGCCAGGACCCAGCCUUAGGUUACACUUUGCAGGGAACGUCCAGAGGAACUUUAAGGGGUGCUGGACUCCGGCGGGCCUUCCCUGGGGAAUGGCCCUAAGAGAGCCACUAGAGCCGCUGACUUUCCUGGUCUCCAUAAAGCAGGGGCCCCUCUUCCUGCUGCAGUGGCCCUGCUCACCCAUGUGAGGAUGCACCAUGGUGCUAGGGUGUCUCAAGACUGGGCGACAGGUGAAUGGAGGAAAGAGAAGAGCGAAUCUUGUGAUCCACUGGGUGUGCGGUGGUGGCCUACCUGGUUGGGUGGUCCAGACUUCCACGCCUGAGAGCCCGAGCCCUUGGUCGUCACGUCCUCCUUUGGCUUUGGCUGCUGCUCUUGUCCAUUCACCAUCAAAUAUGGAUGAAAGAGUCCAAGGCGACACCUUGAUGGAUCUCCUGAGUGCCGAAUGGAGUCAGUAGCUUCAUUGUGCAGUAGCUUCAUCCUCCUGAGAAUCCCCCUGCGAUUCCCCAGCCUGCCAGGUGUCCCACAUGAACGCAGCCUGUUCUGGUUCUCCUUCCUGAUAAGAGUGGAAAAGAAUGCAUUCACCCGGUAUGGGCUGCAUUCCUGGGCCACAGGCCACCAAGCUCACCUGCACCAGGAAAGCUGCUCCCCACCAGUUACAAACAGCAACUGCCUGAUCGAGUUGCAGAUGUCCAUUGUCAUCCUCUAGGGUCUGUCGGGAUUUUCUAGGGCCAGACGUGAAUUAAAUAGGGGUGUGCUGGGUGCAGCCCUCGCAUCCUCUAGGUGUUUAAUCUCUGGCAUUUCCUCUGGGAUGUGAUAUUAUUUUUGAUUUCCUGCAUUGAUGUGUGUGUCUGGGAGUGGGGGGCCUCCACUUGAACUUCCCCAUGGUGGUAGUUCCUACCACCGACUCCUAGGAACUAAUGUGGCAGUUUUACCAAUUUCAAAAGUCAGUUUGAAUUCUACAUUUGGAGGCUGGGGAAAGGGCUCCUGGUUGGGUCUAUGGACCCAGGGGAGUCACUGUGAGCUGGGUUUGGUUACCUCUUCCUUCAAAACCGGCCCCUGCACACCUCCACUCUAACAGAGGGUUCAGGACCAGGCCUAGGUCCCUAGGUACCAGUGUCGCCUCAGAUCCUGUGCCCAGUGGUCCUCACAUGGCAUGUGUCUCUUUGUGGACGAUCUGGGGGAGAAUGUUUGUACAGACACUGCUGUGAUGGGGGAGAAUGUUUGUAUAGACACUGCUGUGAUGUUGGAGGGUCCUUCCUCCCGGGGCUCACCCUCUCCCUCAGUCAGUGGGUUCCAGGUCUGAAAAUGAGCUCAGCUCCAGGGCUGAAAUGUAGCUUUCUAUUGGUCAUUUUCCUGAAGCCUCUUGACUAGUUUCCCUUGAGAAAAGCUUUUGCUAAGGGUGUGUGGAUUGAGAGGUGCCCUUUUCUCCUGCUAUAUAUCUACCCUUUGCAGAUGGGGUCAGGUGCUCCAGCUGCCACUCUGGGCUUGAUGCCCUGUGUCACUGUGCCUACCUUGCUCCCUGCCAAAUGACACACUAGCUUCUGUUGUUGUGGGAUUCCAUUGGCCUCCUUUGCAUUCAAGAGUCCAAUUCUGUAACAACAGCAUAGCCGCCCCGCUUGUUUCCGCAGGCUCCCUCUCAGCAGUGCGUUCUUUAUCUAGCUGGUAACUGGCAUGUUCUCUGGUUGAAGGGCGUGGCUGGCUUUCCGAGCUGAUGUGCUGGACCUGCUCUAGAGGGCAUACUCCUCUGAGCCUUUCUGUCCCUUCCUUCAUGGGCAGGAGGGCGGCCCAGGCAUUUCUGCUUAACUUAGUAUGGACCUUUGCUUCCUUCAGGCUCCUAGGAGCCCUCCUAGAGCACGUUAGCACUGCUUAGGGGCCUUGCCAGAGUUUACAACCCUGGAUCAUGGAAGGGCAGGCCCACACUGAUAAACUCUCCCUAUUCCAAGCUUAGGUUCUGACCGUCUUAGUCUUGUACCCUCAGAACCCAGCCCCACACAUUCUCCUGGUUUCUGCCCAUGCCUCUCCAUGAGGUCUUGCAGCUUCUCUGGGGGCCUUUCUUCCUGUAGCAGGCACUUCCUGCACUUCCCCAUCUAUGUAC